This 275-nucleotide ribosomal RNA is filed under the name uncultured bacterium. RNAcentral describes it as "partial 16S ribosomal RNA". It matches the Rfam family "Bacterial small subunit ribosomal RNA", at positions 338 to 611 of the family's 1533-position model. The record is from RNAcentral.
CCUACGGGUGGCAGCAGUAGGGAAUAUUGGGCAAUGCCCGCAAGGGUGACCCAGCCAUGCCGCGUGCAGGAAGAAGGCUUUCUGAGUUGUAAACUGCUUUUGGAAGGGAACAAAAAGGCUGUGCGCAGCAAAUUGAGUGUACCUUCAGAAUAAGCACCGGCUAACUCCGUGCCAGCAGCCGCGGUAAUACGGAGGGUGCAAGCGUUGUCCGGAUUUAUUGGGUUUAAAGGGUGCGUAGGCGGCUUAUUAAGUCAGGGGUGAAAGACUGCAGCUCA